UCGAGGAUCUUCGGCAAUGGGCGCAAGCCUGACCGAGCGACGCCGCGUGUGCGAUGAAGGCCUUCGGGUUGUAAAGCACUGUCGAGGGGGAGGAAAGCCGCAAGGUCUGACCUAUCCCUGGAGGAAGCACGGGCUAAGUUCGUGCCAGCAGCCGCGGUAAGACGAACCGUGCGAACGUUGUUCGGAUUCACUGGGCUUAAAGGGCGCGUAGGCGGGCCACCAAGUCCGGGGUGAAAUCUUCCGGCCUAACCGGAAAAGUGCCUUGGAUACUGGCGGCCUGGAGGGAGGUAGGGGCACGCGGAACUCCAGGUGGAGCGGUGAAAUGCGUAGAUAUCGGAAGGAACGCCGGUGGCGAAAGCGGCGUGCUGGACCUCUACUGACGCUGAGGCGCGAAAGCCAGGGGAGCAAACGGGAUUAGAUACCCCCGUAGUCC
This 433-nucleotide ribosomal RNA is filed under the name uncultured bacterium. Its description in RNAcentral is "bacterial SSU rRNA". It matches the Rfam family "Bacterial small subunit ribosomal RNA", at positions 355 to 796 of the family's 1533-position model. The record is from RNAcentral.